This 555-nucleotide ribosomal RNA is filed under the name uncultured bacterium. Its description in RNAcentral is "bacterial SSU rRNA". It matches the Rfam family "Bacterial small subunit ribosomal RNA", at positions 355 to 896 of the family's 1533-position model. The record is from RNAcentral.
UAGGGAAUNUCGGCAAUGGGGGCAACCCUGACCGAGCAACGCCGCNUGAGUGAAGAAAGGUNUUCGGAUUGUAAAGCUCUGUUGUAAGUCAAGAANCGAGUGUGAGAGUGGAAAGUUCACACUGUGACGGUAGCUUACCAGAAAGGGACGGCUAACUACGUGCCAGCAGCCGCGGUAAUACGUAGGUGGCAAGCCUUAUCCGGAUUUAUUGGGCGUAAAAAGAAGGCUGGCGGUGUUUUUUAUUUUUGAUUGGAAACCCUUGGGNUAACCCGGAGAAGUGCUUCGGAAACUGGAUAACCUUGAGUGCAGAAGAGGGUAGUGGAACUCCAUGUGUAGCGGUGGAAUGCGUAGAUAUAUGGAAGAACACCAGUGGCGAAGGCGGCUACCUGGUCUGCAACUGACGCUGAGACUCGAAAGCAUGGGUAGCGAACAGGAUUAGAUACCCUGGUAGUCCAUGCCGUAAACGAUGAGUGCUAGGUGUUGGAGGGUUUCCGCCCUUCAGUGCCGGAGCUAACGCAUUAAGCACUCCGCCUGGGGAGUACGACCGCAAGGUUG